AGUGCCUCUACCAUGAGUUGCCAUCGAAAACUUGUAUUCGUAUACUACAGUCGAUAGAGUUUAAACGUGGAUCGAUGAAGUUUGCAUUAAAAUCAUACCAUGAGUUCAAUUACCGUAUACUUUACUCGCCAGCGAUAAUUCGAUGGUUUUGUGAUGUCAUGUUGGUGAACAUGUAAACGUAUCCAACUUCACACUCUAUGAAUGGAUGAAUGAAAGAACGAAUGCCGCUCCUUUCUAACUAUAUAGAAAAGAUAGAGUAGGAAAUAACAAAAAUGUCAAAAAUAACACUGCAAAAUUUAAGUGUCCUAGAACAGUGCUUAAAGCUGAAUUAACAUGAUGAUUUUAAAUUUGUAUUGUUUAUUUCUUGUCAUUGCGACUUUGACGCAGCUGUUGUCAUGACAACAGAUAACAAAACAUGUUUUGUUGAAGGAUUAUUGAUGAUUAAUUUUCCACAAAAAAUUUGAUUUUAACCACGAUAGGAAAAUGAGAACCUGCGCCUAUCCGUUUAAACCGAUUGUAGAAUUUAUGGAAAGAUAUGGCGAUCUGAGUAUGCCAACUGAAGGGCCCCAAGAAAGAGCCAACAAUAGUCAACGGUGGGUGGAACUAACGGACACGCAAACGUGAAAUGCUGACACGAAAACUACUGAGAAAUUGAGAAAAGUGUGGAGUGACAGCAAGAAGAAGGCAACUCGCAUACACAGAGCUGCCAAGGGAACACUGGACUGGUGGCGGUCCAUGUUCUUCCCUGAAGCCAAAGGAUUUAGAGCAGAGUGCUUGUAAAUAACAACUUGUAAAUUAAAUCCAUAAUAAAGACCUAGGGUAACUGGAUGGAUAUACCUACGUUAUUAUUGUAAAACUUAAAGAUAUUAUAAUUAAU
Molecule: long non-coding RNA, 877 nt
Organism: Ostrinia nubilalis (European corn borer)
Lineage: Eukaryota; Metazoa; Arthropoda; Insecta; Lepidoptera; Crambidae
Exons: 3
Source: RefSeq, a predicted model, not a curated record